UACGUAGGUGGCGAGCGUUGUCCGGAAUUACUGGGUGUAAAGGGCGUGUAGGCGGGGAAGUAAGUCAGAUGUGAAAUACCAUGGCUCAACUGUGGGGCUGCAUCUGAAACUAUUUAUCUUGAGUGCUGGAGAGGGAAGCGGAAUUCCAAGUGUAGCGGUGAAAUGCGUAGAGAUUUGGAGGAACACCAGUGGCGAAGGCGGCUUUCUGGACAGUAACUGGCGAUGAGGCGCGAAAGCGUGGGGAGCAAACAGG
This 253-nucleotide ribosomal RNA is filed under the name uncultured bacterium. Its description in RNAcentral is "partial 16S ribosomal RNA". It matches the Rfam family "Bacterial small subunit ribosomal RNA", at positions 524 to 776 of the family's 1533-position model. The record is from RNAcentral.